CACAGAAGGCAUACUGAAUGCCCACCAUGGUGUCAUGGAGCAUCAGUAUAAGGGUUAAUAGUAAUUCAUAAGUCUCUAUUUUUCCCGCCUUUUGUGUUCUAAUGAAUGUUCAUUUUACAUUUUCUGAGGUGAUUCUAAUUCUGCAUUUUGAUUGGUACCUGGUUGCCUACCUGUUGCUGAGGUACCUGUUCUCUGCCUGUUCCUGAUUGGUGAUUGAGAUUUCUGGGCGGGAAAUUCGAAUAUUUAAGGAAGGUCGCAUCAGGUCCGGAGCUUGUCCGCCGCGGAGCCUGGAAGAAGAGGACGUCGUCGCCUGAAGCCCUAGGAAGUGCCGGCCUAGCUGCAAAAGAGCUAUUGGGCUUCGCCGGCAUUACUAGGCGGAAUUUGACAAGCGGCAGUGAAGUAGUGGCGGCGGAGGAGCAGCGGUGGUGAAGCGGCGUAUGAGCAGUGAGUCAGCGCUGCUGUGAAGAAUAAAGCGGCGCUGAGUUCCUGAGGUGAGGGCCGCCCUAAAAGCUGAAGAGCAGAAGAUUUUGAAGAAGGGCCGAAGUUUAAAGGCAACAGUAAAGAACUCACCGGUCGGAUGGAAGAGCUCCUGAGGAAGUUGAUUCAGCGCGCCGAGUCAAGUGGCGGGGAGGCGUGGCUUCAACGAUGCCUGGCUGACGGAGUGUCAGUUGAAGAUGAAGAGGCGGGACUUCAGGACGUCGCGGUGCGCAGUGACGUCACAGGUCAAGCGACUGCGUCUGGAUCGUCAUCAAGAGGCGCUUCCCAUAGCGCUGAAGCUCGGGUGUCCAAGCGGAUCAAAAGGCCAAGGAGGGCUUAUUCACCAGCGGAAGCAAGAAGCCGGAAAGGUGGCAAUGUGCGCUCCUCCCCUAGAUGUGCGGUAUCGCAGCCUGGGGUUUUGAGUAGAGCGCAAUUGCCGGCCUCCAGUGCCCCCAGCAUGGACCCGGGACCGGAGAAUGGUGAGGAGACAUGUAGGCAGAGCUUGUCUUUGCCUACCAACAUGGGUACUCAAGAUAAUAAGUUAUUGCUUAGCUUAGCAAGUUUAUUUUCAGAAUGGGCUUCAGCUAGUGUGCCUGUUUCUGUAGAUCAGCCUGCAGCAGUGUGGAAGGAUAUUCCAGCUGAUGCAGGAGCUGAUAUUUUGAAUGUUAAUAAAUCAGUGAGUACAGUAACCUUAGAUAAUGGUAUUGGUAUAAGUGAAACUUGUUUAAAAGAAGCUUUGACAUGUGACGGCUCACCAUUGGGGUUUCACUUGUCUCAAUCUGUAAAGGAAAAAAUUUGGAGAAGGGAAUAUAUUGAUAUUUUAUCAUUGCUCCCUUCUGCCAAAGAACCUUUUAAAAGUGAGAAGAAAGCGUUUGAAAAAGAGGAAGAAAGGAAAAGGAUUGCGCCAAGAUCUUUUAAUAAUUGGUUGCAAGCCUUUUUUAUUUACGCUUCUGUGUUUUGUGCGAAACAUCCACAGAGUUGUGUUGGUUUGUUUCAACAUAUGGAUUCCAUUUUAGAGGCUUACCGUAAUUUUGGCGGCCUCGCAUGGUUUACAUAUGAUGAAACUUUUCGCCAGAAGUUAGCAGUACACACUAAUAUGAUUUGGGGUUCUAAAGAUGUGGGUCUUUGGCUUAGCUUGAUGUUGCCACAGAAAAGUGGUUUUCAAGCUAGGCCAAUUAAUUCAAUGGUGUCUGGUGCUGUUAGUAAAAAAGGUUUUUGCUUUGCAUAUAAUGAAUCGGCAUGUAGAUGGCUGAGCAAUUGUAGAUAUAAACACGAAUGUUCAUUUUGUUCAGGUGCACACCCCAUGUUUCGGUGUUUUAAAAAAGCUAAUCAGUCCAUGUUACAAAAUCAACCCAAUAGAGAUUUUUCAAAAAGCUCAGACACCAGUGAAUUGGGUAAGAAUGCUUCCAUGGCUAGAUCUAUUUCCAGACCGUCUGAAGGCGGAGUUAAUCCUUAGAGGUUUUGUUUGUGGUUUUUAUGUUCCUAAAUUUACUGGCAAGGGUUGUUUAGUUCAUGAUAAUUUGCCCUCAGUUAAUAAGCAUUUAGAUAUUGUUGAAGUUAAGAUUCUGAAAGAAUUGCAUGAGGGUAGGAUAGCUGGUCCUUUUCCUUUUCCACCUUUUUCUGACUUUAGGGUCUCUCCUUUGGGAAUUGUUCCAAAGAAGAAUCCUAAUGAAUUUAGACUGAUUCAUCAUUUAUCGUACCCGGUUAAAGAAUCGUUGAAUGAUUCUUUGGAUAAGGAAAUAGCUUCUGUAGCCUAUACAUCCUUUGACGAUGCAGUUUCUUUAAUAUGUUCAGUAGGGAAAGGGUGUUUUAUGGCAAAGGCAGAUAUUAAAGCUGCAUUUCGUUUGUUACCUGUGGAUCCGUGGGAAAGAUUCUUUUAUCUAGUACCGCAGGCAGAGAAAGUGGGAAUUCCGUGUCCAGAACGGGUUUGGAAUCUUAUCCGGAAUUAAUCAGCAAGUUUAUUCAGAAGUCAUUAGCACCCCGCACAUGGGAAAGUUAUUCAUUGGCUUGGAAGAGGUGGUAUCAAUUUUGCUUAGUUAGGAAUGUUUCGUGUUUUUUAUUCGAUUUAGAUGUAUUUUUUCAAUUUCUCUGUUCAUUAUUAGAUAAAGGUGUUGGUUAUUCAGUUUUACACUUGACUGUUUCAGGGGUGUCAUUCUUUUUUAAACUGGCUGGUUGUCAGCCAUUUUCUAACCAAUUUGUAGUGAAACAAUUUUUGAAAGGGGUUAAAAGAUCAUUUAGAAGGAUUGACUCCAGAAGACCAAUCACUUUUGAGUUGCUUGGUUCCUUGGUGUCAGUAUUGGAGAAGUGUACAUUUUCAAAGUUUGAGGCAAUUCUUUUUAAGGUAGCUUUUGUGGUAACAUUUUUUGGGGCACUUCGGGUAGGAGAGCUAGCCGCGGCUAAUAAAAAGUCGUUUUCACCACUGGAAGUUAGUGAUAUUAAUUUGUAUAAUAAUUCAGUAGGAAUUUUUAUUAAAAAAUCUAAAACAGACCAGUUUGCAAAAGGGUCAUGGAUCAGGUUAGCAAUGUUAACUGAGUCACCAUUGUGCCCGGUCAAGACGGUUAGUGAUUAUUUUGACAUUAGACCCCAGAGAGAUGGUUCUUUUUUAAUUCACGAAGAUGGUUCUGUUUUGACAAUAUAUCAAUUUAACGCUAUUUUGAAAAAGUGUCUGGUAUUGUUAAACUUAUCUAAAGAAAAUUAUUCGUCUCAUUCAUUUCGGAUUGGUGCGGCAACAGUUGCCGCUAGUUUGGGAUUGAAUGAGGCAGUAAUUAAAAAAAUUGGUCGUUGGGAAUCUGACAGAUUUAAGUUGUAUAUUAGACCUAAUCUGGUGCUCUAAUUUUAUUUGAUAUUUUUCAGGUCCAGAGGAAAUGGUCAUAUGGAUUCUGGGCCAUUCUUUCGUGUUUUGGGCAGAAAGAAGGGCUGCGGAGCGUAAUUAUUUGCAAAAAAGUUUUAUUGGUGCUUUUUUUGUUUCCAUAGUUUGGUUAGGUUUUAGAGGUUUGAAAUGGUACCAGAUCAUUCCGAUACUGAAAAAUGAAUUGAGGUCAUUACCACAGCCUGAUGUAUUAAUAAUUCAUGCUGGGGGUAAUGACUUGGGAAAAAUUAAAACGUUGGAUCUGAUGGAGCACAUGAAAUCGGAUCUGUUUCAGAUUAAAUCAUUAAUCCCGGAGGUAAUUUUAAUUUUUUCCGAAAUUAUACCAAGAUUAAUUUGGAAAAGUGAUCAGUAUGGUUUUAUGGAGAAAAUUAGAAAAAGGGUUAACAGAAGUUUAGAGAAAUUUCUUCCUAGUCUAAAUGGUUGGUCAAUAAGGCAUACCGAGCUUGAGGGUUUUAUUGCAGGUCUAUAUCGGAAUGAUUUGGUCCAUUUGUCGGAUAUAGGGCUGGAUAUUUUCAAUUCAGGUCUACAGGACAUGAUUGAUAAGGCCGUGGUUUUUAGGGGGGGACAUGUGGGAUAAAUCCCUCAUGUCUGGUGGGUUAGUCACCCAGCUUUGCUGGGGGGACAAUUGUGGAUUUAAUGAAUUUUA
RNA transcript from Bufo bufo (common toad), 3992 nucleotides. RefSeq lists it as uncharacterized. The record is from RefSeq and is a predicted model, not a curated record. The transcript is spliced from 2 exons. Lineage: Eukaryota; Metazoa; Chordata; Amphibia; Anura; Bufonidae.